AUGGAACUGGAGUGUGGUAAAGCGUGUUGGGAUCAGGGAGAAUGUUCUCCCUAUCCUCAGUCUGUGGAAGAACAGUGGAAGUGGACUCUUGAUCAGGUGGUGAGUGACAUGAAAGAAGUCAGGGAAAGAGAAUUGGAUGCAAUAAAAAAGUUGUGGAAGGAUGCUCAGAAGCAAAAGAUUCUUCCUUCUCCAGAGGUGAAGGUUAACUUAACUGAAGCAUUGUGUAAGUGGGAGUCAGAAAUUCAUACUAUAUUACAGGAGCAUCUUGAUAAUCCAAAAUUAGGGUUUAUAGCAGGGAAAGCAUGGCAGAAACAGGGUAAGGAGUUAGAAGAUAAGCGCAGAAGGAUACAUGUUGUGGCUGUGGCAUGUGCAGCGGUGCACAAUUGCAGAUCUAAAGGGGUCACACGAGUGCCUAAUGUUGAGAAGCCUCCAUUAGAAGAUUUAAAUCAGACAUUGACACUUAACACCACUCUUUAUCCAUCAUUACCUACUACCUCUUCCCCACCCCCAUAUCAAUUGCCAGUUUUGACUGUUAACAGUGGUCAGUUAGAUGUGGACAGAGAUAAAGAACUGCAGGAGUUACGUGAGACAGUGUGUGAACUUUGGAGACAGGUCAGCAGAAUGAAACAGGGACAGGAAGAGAUUGAAGAUAACGUAGGAAAAAAUGAAUUUAGAGAGGAAGCUCAGGUGGUUCGCCCUAAAAUCUCCCAACAAACUACAUUUAAAAAACAGGAUAGUCAAAAAUCUACUUUAGAUAUUUUUAAAACACCUAGCAAUCAAAUAAAACAAGUGAAAAGAGUUGAUCCCUCAGGAGGUUUUGCCAGGGCUGAGCGCAGGGAGGAGAAGGCAAGAUUGAUUUAUGGCAGUGAUAAAGAGGAGAGUGAGAAUAAGAUAGAUACAUACAAAAUUCCGGCUACAUUUAUUGGAGAAUUGGAGCUUCCAGAGCAGGUUCAUCCUCAGACAGAAUUAUAUGAAAAGGAUCAGGGUUCAAGUACGGGAAAUUGUGAGUUAGAAUUGUGGGAGGAAAGUGAGUUGGCACAUGGGUUCCUUACGAGGUGUAAAGAGGAAUGGAUGUGUGCCACAGGGUGCCAUCCCGGCUCAGAUAAUUUGCAUACCACUUUAUUCCGUCAGGCCAUAACUUUAGGACUUCCACAAUCAGUAAAAGAAGCUAUGGAAGGAAAUCCUGACCUCCCAGGUAGCACAGCGGAAGUCUGGGAGAGACAUUUCUCUCACCACAUUAACAUAUAUAAAGCUAAACAACAGGGAAAGAAAGAGGGGGUGGUGACAGCGCAGGAACAGCUCCUAAGAAUGCAGUUAGAUGAGGCACGGAAAAAGCUUAAUGAUAAACGAAGGGAAGAGAAACAGAUGGGUCGGCGGUUUUUUUCGGCAGAUGCAGCCAGAUCCGUUAAGUCCGCAGCAAGAUUUUGUCCCUAG
Molecule: long non-coding RNA, 1434 nt
Filed under: Takifugu rubripes (torafugu)
Lineage: Eukaryota; Metazoa; Chordata; Actinopteri; Tetraodontiformes; Tetraodontidae
Description: lncRNA (ENSTRUG00000032560.1)
Source: RNAcentral